Loxodonta africana (African savanna elephant) is the source of this 111-nucleotide small nuclear RNA. NCBI's taxonomy places the organism in Eukaryota, Metazoa, Chordata, Mammalia, Proboscidea, Elephantidae. The record is from Ensembl.
GUGCUCACUUUGGCAGUACAUAUACUAAAGCUGGACUGAAACAGAGAAGAUUAAUUAGCAUGGCCCCUGCACAAGGAUGACACACAAAUUUGUGAAGCGUUGCAUAUUUUU